AUUGAACGCUGGCGGCAUGCCUUACACAUGCAAGUCGAACGGCAGCACGGGAGCAAUCCUGGUGGCGAGUGGCGAACGGGUGAGUAAUAUAUCGGAACGUGCCCAGUCGUGGGGGAUAACGUAGCGAAAGUUACGCUAAUACCGCAUACGAUCUACGGAUGAAAGCGGGGGACUCGCAAGAGCCUCGCGCGAUUGGAGCGGCCGAUAUCAGAUUAGGUAGUUGGUGGGGUAAAGGCUCACCAAGCCAACGAUCUGUAGCUGGUCUGAGAGGACGACCAGCCACACUGGAACUGAGACACGGUCCAGACUCCUACGGGAGGCAGCAGUGGGGAAUAUUGGUACAAUGGCGCAAGCCUGAUCCAGCCACUGCCGCGUGCAGGAAUAAGGUACCUAU
This 394-nucleotide ribosomal RNA is filed under the name uncultured bacterium. RNAcentral's name for it is "bacterial SSU rRNA". It matches the Rfam family "Bacterial small subunit ribosomal RNA", at positions 30 to 421 of the family's 1533-position model. The record is from RNAcentral.